CACAGAAAACCCUAUUCUUUUCCUGGGCUACACCAGAUAUUAGUCAGAAACUAUCAACUGAGCAUCAAAAGGUGAUAAGAAGAAUGGCACUAUAGAGACAAACAUGCCCUGUGGGUUAGUUAUGGGUGAGAGUCACCUCACCUGACUUGACAUAUCUGCAGAUUAAAGUUCAGACAAUGAACUAGUCACCAUGCUCUGCCUUUGGGGGCCUUCCCCAAAGGAGAAGUCAUCUGACCUUUCUAGAGCAGGAUCAUGUAUUCUUUGGAGGUGCCUGUUUCCCUUCUUUGGACUAAUUGGGAGUCUCAGUGGCACUCUGCAGGCCGUAGAUGCUUCAGGACAAUCAGACCUGGAUGCAGCUGUGAUGCAAGUGGGAGUGGUGUGCAAGAAGAAACCAGUUCAUCAAAUGGACCAGAACCAGCUGUUGGGAUGAUCGGCUCAUCUACUAUAAACCUACAUCUGGCCAAGUGGGAAAAAUGACUGCUGCUUCCAUAAAAAGUUCUAUUGAAUUGUAAAUAAAUUAAAAAUAAAAGCGGAAAAAAUUA
Passer domesticus (house sparrow) is the source of this 542-nucleotide long non-coding RNA. RefSeq lists it as uncharacterized. NCBI's taxonomy places the organism in Eukaryota, Metazoa, Chordata, Aves, Passeriformes, Passeridae. The transcript is spliced from 2 exons. The record is from RefSeq and is a predicted model, not a curated record.